Molecule: transfer RNA, 74 nt
Filed under: Bdellovibrionales bacterium
Lineage: Bacteria; Pseudomonadati; Bdellovibrionota; Bdellovibrionia; Bdellovibrionales
Description: tRNA-Arg
Rfam family: tRNA
About the family: Transfer RNA (tRNA) molecules are approximately 80 nucleotides in length. Their secondary structure includes four short double-helical elements and three loops (D, anti-codon, and T loops).
Source: RNAcentral
GCGCCCAUAGCUCAAUUGGAUAGAGCAACGGCCUUCUAAGCCGUAGGUUCCAGGUUCGAGUCCUGGUGGGCGUA